GACGAACGCUGGCGGCGUGCUUAACACAUGCAAGUCGAACGGUGAAGCUCCAGCUUGCUGGAGUGGAUCAGUGGCGAACGGGUGAGUAACACGUGAGCAACCUGCCCCUGACUCUGGAAUAAGCGCUGGAAACGGCGUCUAAUACUGGAUACGAGAAGGGUCCGCAUGGGCACUUUCUGGAAAGUUUUUCGGUUGGGGAUGGGCUCGCGGCCUAUCAGCUUGUUUGUGAGGUAAUGGCUCACCAAGGCGACGACGGGUAGCCGGCCUGAGAGGGCGACCGGCCACACUGGGACUGAGACACGGCCCAGACUCCUACGGGAGGCAGCAGUGGGGAAUAUUGCACAAUGGGCGAAAGCCUGAUGCAGCGACGCCGCGUGAGGGAUGACGGCCUUCGGGUUGUAAACCUCUUUCAGCAGGGAAGAAGCGAAAGUGACGGUACCUGCAGAAGAAGCACCGGCUAACUACGUG
This 468-nucleotide ribosomal RNA is filed under the name uncultured bacterium. RNAcentral describes it as "partial 16S ribosomal RNA". It matches the Rfam family "Bacterial small subunit ribosomal RNA", at positions 28 to 507 of the family's 1533-position model. The record is from RNAcentral.